This 207-nucleotide long non-coding RNA is filed under the name Hordeum vulgare. RNAcentral describes it as "long non-coding RNA (HVUL_LNC009064)". The record is from RNAcentral. Lineage: Eukaryota; Viridiplantae; Streptophyta; Magnoliopsida; Poales; Poaceae.
UUCUUAUCGUUCUUCUCCUUCUCCUCCUUCUUAUUCUUCUUCUUCCUUUUCUUCUCCUUCUUCUCCUCCUCUUUAUUCUCCUCUUUCUUCUCGUCCUUAGCUUAUUUUCCCAAAGAAAUACAUACUUAGCUAAUUAUCCUCCAAAAUAACAUAAUGAGAUUAUUUCAUUCAUUUAUUCCAUAAUUAGCUUAGUUAGGUAAAAAAAUC